Molecule: ribosomal RNA, 661 nt
Filed under: uncultured bacterium
Lineage: Bacteria
Description: bacterial SSU rRNA
Rfam family: Bacterial small subunit ribosomal RNA
Source: RNAcentral
AGUGGCGGACGGGUGAGUAACGCGUGAGAAUCUGCCUUCAGGUCGGGGACAACAGAGGGAAACUUCUGCUAAUCCCGGAUGAGCCUUAGUGUAAAAAAUUUAUUGCCUGGAGAUGAGCUCGCGUCUGAUUAGCUAGUUGGUAAGGUAAAAGCUUACCAAGGCAACGAUCAGUAGCUGGUCUGAGAGGAUGAGCAGCCACACUGGGACUGAGACACGGCCCAGACUCCUACGGGAGGCAGCAGUGGGGAAUUUUCCGCAAUGGGCGAAAGCCUGACGGAGCAAGACCGCGUGGGGGAGGAAGGCUCUAGGGUUGUAAACCCCUUUUCUUUGGGAAGAACAAAAUGACGGUACCAAAGGAAUCAGCCUCGGCUAACUCCGUGCCAGCAGCCGCGGUAAUACGGAGGAGGCAAGCGUUAUCCGGAAUGAUUGGGCGUAAAGCGUCCGCAGGUGGCAAUGUAAGUCUGCUGUCAAAACCCAGGGCUCAACUCUGGUCAGGCAGUGGAAACUACAUAGCUAGAGUUCGGUAGGGGCAAAGGGAAUUCCCGGUGUAGCGAUGAAAUGCGUAGAGAUCGGGAAGAACAUCGGUGGCGAAAGCGCUUUGCUAGACCGAAACUGACACUCAGGGACGAAAGCUAGGGGAGCGAAUGGGAUUAGAUACCCC